AUGUGUGACCAAACCUUCUUGUCAAAGCCUGAUCUCGUCAGAUCUCAGACGUUAAACAGAGUUGGACCAGGUCAGUACUUGGAUGAGAGACCACUGGGAAUACCAGGUGUCACAGUGG
This 118-nucleotide ribosomal RNA is filed under the name Periophthalmus magnuspinnatus. The record is from RNAcentral. Lineage: Eukaryota; Metazoa; Chordata; Actinopteri; Gobiiformes; Gobiidae.